GAUCCUUCCCUCAAGUCUCAACCAUGGCUUCCGCUCCCUCUCUCAAAAUUCCCAACCCCUCCUCUCCCGCCGCCUCCGCCACGAGUAGAGACCGUCGCCAUCUUCUCGUCACCAUCCCUUCCACGGUGGCCUCACCGACCUCCCCUCGUCGUAGAUCCGCCUCCCUCGCAGUCGCCUUCGCCGCCGCAUCUGCUAGCGCCGCCUCCAUCAACGGCGGCGGCGUCCCCAAGAUCAACGGCCACCCCCGGAUCAACGGCUUCGAACCCGCCGCCGGCCUCCGCGUAGCCUUCCAGGGCGCCCCCGGCGCCUACUCCGAGUUCGCCGCCAAGACCGCCCUUCUGGGCUGCGACACCCUCCCCUGCCGCGCCUUCGCGGACGCCAUCUCUGCCGUCGAGCGCGGCCUCGCCGAC
RNAcentral lists this long non-coding RNA (410 nucleotides) under Musa acuminata (dwarf banana). RNAcentral's name for it is "long non-coding RNA (MACU_LNC001405)". Lineage: Eukaryota; Viridiplantae; Streptophyta; Magnoliopsida; Zingiberales; Musaceae. The record is from RNAcentral.